Molecule: ribosomal RNA, 465 nt
Filed under: uncultured bacterium
Lineage: Bacteria
Description: partial 16S ribosomal RNA
Rfam family: Bacterial small subunit ribosomal RNA
Source: RNAcentral
CUACGGGCCGCAGCAGUGAGGAAUAUUGCGCAAUGGGGGAAACCCUGACGCAGCGACGCCGCGUGGAUGAUGAAGGCCUUCGGGUCGUAAAAUCCUGUCAGAAGGAAAGAAGUGUAUGGUAGCUAAUAUCUGCCAUACUUGACGGUACCUUCAAAGGAAGCACCGGCUAACUCCGUGCCAGCAGCCGCGGUAAUACGGAGGGUGCAAGCGUUGUUCGGAAUUACUGGGCGUAAAGCGCGCGUAGGCGGUUUUAUAAGUCAGAUGUGAAAGUCCACGGCUCAACCAUGGAAGUGCAUUUGAAACUGUAAGACUUGAGUAUUGGAGGGGGUAGUGGAAUUCCCGGUGUAGAGGUGAAAUUCGUAGAUAUCGGGAGGAAUACCGGUGGCGAAGGCGACUAUCUGGCCAAGUACUGACGCUGAGGUGCGAAAGCGUGGGGAGCAAACAGGAUUAGAUACCCGCGUAGUC